RNAcentral lists this ribosomal RNA (447 nucleotides) under uncultured bacterium. RNAcentral describes it as "bacterial SSU rRNA". It matches the Rfam family "Bacterial small subunit ribosomal RNA", at positions 355 to 825 of the family's 1533-position model. The record is from RNAcentral.
UCGGGAAUUUUGGGCAAUGGGCGAAAGCCUGACCCAGCAACGCCGCGUGAAGGAUGAAGUACUUCGGUAUGUAAACUUCGUAAGAAUAGGAAGAAUAAAUGACGGUACUAUUUGUAAGGUCCGGCUAACUACGUGCCAGCAGCCGCGGUAAUACGUAGGGACCAAGCGUUGUUCGGAUUUACUGGGCGUAAAGGGCGCGUAGGCGGUGUGUCAAGUCAGUUGUGAAAUCUCCGAGCUUAACUCGGAACGGUCAACUGAUACUGUCACACUAGAGUACAGAAGGGGCAAUCGGAAUUCUUGGUGUAGCGGUGAAAUGCGUAGAUAUCAAUAGGAACACCUGAGGCGAAGGCGGGUUGCUGGGCUGAUACUGACGCUGAGGCGCGAAAGCUAGGGUAGCAAACGGGAUUAGAUACCCCUGUAGUCCCUGAGCGGGCUGGCAAGGCGCAU